This is a long non-coding RNA of Ictalurus punctatus (channel catfish), 878 nucleotides long. NCBI's taxonomy places the organism in Eukaryota, Metazoa, Chordata, Actinopteri, Siluriformes, Ictaluridae. The record is from Ensembl.
GAAACAUUUAUGCACAGUGAGAACAUACAAAACUCUACAGAGACAGCAGGAUCAAGCCCGGAGCUGUGAGGUGGCAAUGCUACCAUCCAUCCAUCCAUCUUCGGUACUGCUUAUCCUUCACAGGGUCGCAGGGAGCCUGGAGUAUAUCCCAGGAAGCUUGGGGCACAAGGCGGAAGACACUCUGGACAAGUGCUGAAGGACUACAGCACUGUGGGAUGGAGUGCUGUCCCUGCCCUGAUCCAACUCAAAAACAUACUGUGCUGUGAAAAAGUAUUUGCCCCAUCCUGAGUUCUUCUGUUUUUGUGUACAUCUCAUACUAAAUUGUUUCAGAAAUUAAAACAAAAUCUAAGAUAAAACAAAGGCAGCCUGAGUAAACAUAAAAUACAGUGCUUAAAUAAAAAUGUUAUUUAUUUUAGCAAAAAAAAGUUAUCCAAUACCAACUGGGCCUGUGUGAAAAUGUAUUUGCCCCAUAGUUACUAAUUCCCAAAUCUAUGAAACCUCAUUCGUAAUGGGGUUCAGCUGGACUAGACGCAACCAGCAAGCCUGAUUACUGCAAACCCUGUUCAAUCAAAUCAACACUUAAAUAGAACUUUUUCAACAGCCGACCUUCCAAAAUUCCUCCAUGAGCACAGCAACUACUGACGCAAGUCACAAAAGAGCCAAGGACAACCUCAAAUGACUUACAGGUGUCUGUUGCAUCAAUAAGGGUCAGUGACUACGUUUACAUGGACAGCAGUAAUCUAAUUAUUGACCUUAUUCUGAAUAAAACAAUAUUGCAAUUAAGGUGUUUACAUGAGUCGCUUUUAGAAUACUCCUUUCAUGUUCCCAUUUUGCACGUUACAGAACAUAGAUCGAUUAACGGCAUACGUCAUUGUCAC